Nicotiana tabacum (common tobacco) is the source of this 1730-nucleotide non-coding RNA. The record is from RefSeq and is a predicted model, not a curated record. NCBI's taxonomy places the organism in Eukaryota, Viridiplantae, Streptophyta, Magnoliopsida, Solanales, Solanaceae.
UGCUAAGCUUUUAUUUUUACCUUUUCUUUUCCCUUCAAUUUUUUUCCCCUCUAAAUCUUCUGCCGCCUAAAUAUUAUAUCACUUCUCUGAUUUGCCCAAAAAAGGAAAACCUACGCCUCUAAGAAUUAGGUCUCAUUCUUAAAAAAGCUUUUACAAUUUUCCUGGUGUAAGAAAACCUUCGCCUCUAGCAACCAAAAUUUUCGCCAAUUGAAUGAUACUUGUGUACUUAAAAUCAUAUGUUUGUAAUCGUGCAAACCCAGAAGGUUCAAUAGCAGAAGCAUAUAUCGCAAAUGAGUGCAUGAAUUUUGCUCGCGAUAUUUGGAGGGUAGACAUUUACGGUCUUAUUGGUAAAAAAAAAGUGAUGUUGAGAUUGAGCAUGAGACUAAUAGAGAAGGAUGUCUUUUCCCUACUGUUAGGGAGCUGUAUGGUCAAGUAGAUGUAUUUGAGUUGGAUGAGAAAACAUGGUUGCAAGCACAUCGACAUGUGCUUUUCAAUUGUGAAUCAGAUGUGGUUGAGAAUUACAAAAAAACAUAUUGCUGAAAUCAAGAGAUUACAUCGUAAGCGUCGUCUUACACAACAUCAACUCGAUCGGUUGCAUUUUGAUACAUUUCAUGAGUGGUUCAAGGAAAAAGAACUAUGCGGACUAGAGGUGGCAAAAGAUUGGUAAUUGAACAACAUGAUUAUGAAAGUGUACGACCUUAUAUUGAGCAAUUGAUGGAUGGUCAGAACCACUCUCAGACCCAAUCACAUGAUAAUCAAUCUACUGAAUUGUAUAGUUCUUCUGGCACUGAAGUUCAAGAGAAUGAAGAAUCAGGGAAGAAAAUUGAUGUGCAAUUUAAUAAUCGCAACCAAGCCAUCGGAAAAGAGGGUCGAAAGCUUGCUAGCUUUCUAGGCAUUAUCGCAAGAACUCCAGAUCUAACACCUCUACACAUAGAUGAUUGGCGAAGUUUUGAUAAAGAAGAAAAGAAGAAAUUGCUAGAGUUUGUAAGGAAAAAGUUCUCUAUCCCAACACGUGGAGAAGCAUAUGUCGUAAAGUCAAUUGGAAAAAAAUGAAAAGAUUACAAAUCCGAUUUAAAAUGUGAAUAUUUGGAAAAAUAUAAAACCAAAGAUGCUUUGCUGAAGAAUAGACCAGCAAGUCGCAUACCAAGGGAUCAAUGGACUGGUCUUGUUUCUUAUUGGCUUUCUGAUAAAGCUAAGAUGUGUACCCAGGCAAAUAGAAAUAAUAGGGUUAAACAAAAUAUACCUCACACAGGAGGAUCCAAAAGUAUUGCCACCUUAAUAGAUGAGCAGGCCAAGAAUGAUAUAGAGCCUACACGAGCAGAAAUAUUUAUACUGACACACAAAAAACGUAAGGAUGGUAGACUAUUGGAUGAGGAAUCUGCAAAGGCAGUUGACAUGAUGAACGAAAGGUUGGGGGAUACUGACGGAUCAAAUGACCAACCUCUCCGCAGUGUUGCUUGGGAAGGAGAUGUGUAUUCCCAAGUGCUUAGAAAUAAUAAAAGUGGGUUAAAUAGUACGAUGUGAAAGAUUUCAGUACGAGGAAGAUUUGCAGAAUUGUUUGAGGGCUUCUACUCUUUUGUUAUUAUGAAUAUUAUAUAGAAUUAGCGAUAAUAACAUUGGUUAUUUUGUUUGAACAAUAUAAUUUUAUCUUACAUGUCGUUGAUACAUUAGUAAGAUUAAUACUUUCUUUUGUUUUUCUAGAUUGAAUGAAAUAUAUUAUGUUUUUAUGA